UACGUAGGGGGCAAGCGUUGUCCGGAAUCAUUGGGCGUAAAGCGCGCGUAGGCGGCCAGAUAAGUCCGGUGUGAAAGUCACAGGCUCAACCUGUGAAUGCCGCUGGAAACUGUCUGGCUUGAGUCCGGAAGGGGCGAGUGGAAUUCCUGGUGUAGCGGUGAAAUGCGCAGAUAUCAGGAGGAACGCCAAUGGCGAAGGCAGCUCGCUGGAACGGUACUGACGCUGAGGCGCGAAAGCGUGGGGAGCGAACAGG
RNAcentral lists this ribosomal RNA (253 nucleotides) under uncultured bacterium. RNAcentral's name for it is "partial 16S ribosomal RNA". It matches the Rfam family "Bacterial small subunit ribosomal RNA", at positions 524 to 776 of the family's 1533-position model. The record is from RNAcentral.